AAAAAAUCCGAGGGCCUCUGGGUCCACCUCCCACCCGUGUUUAUCGUACCUUGUUGCUUCGGCGGGCCCGCCUCACGGCCGCCGGGGGGCAUCCGCCCCCGGGCCCGCGCCCGCCGAAGACACACAAACGAACUCUUGUCUGAAGAUUGCAGUCUGAGUACUUGACUAAAUCAGUUAAAACUUUCAACAACGGAUCUCUUGGUUCCGGCAUCGAUGAAGAACGCAGCGAAAUGCGAUAAGUAAUGUGAAUUGCAGAAUUCAGUGAAUCAUCGAGUCUUUGAACGCACAUUGCGCCCCCUGGUAUUCCGGGGGGCAUGCCUGUCCGAGCGUCAUUGCUGCCCUCAAGCACGGCUUGUGUGUUGGGCUCUCGCCCCCCGCUUCCGGGGGGCGGGCCCGAAAGGCAGCGGCGGCACCGCGUCCGGUCCUCGAGCGUAUGGGGCUUCAUCACCCGCUCUGUAGGCCCGGCCGGCUCCCGCCGGCGAACACCAUCAAUCUUAACCAGGUUGACCUCGGAUCAGGUAAGGAUACCCGCUGAAUUUUAAACAUAUCAUAA
RNAcentral lists this ribosomal RNA (553 nucleotides) under Penicillium oxalicum. Its description in RNAcentral is "eukaryotic LSU rRNA". The stretch from base 179 to 332 matches the Rfam family "5.8S ribosomal RNA". Lineage: Eukaryota; Fungi; Ascomycota; Eurotiomycetes; Eurotiales; Aspergillaceae. The record is from RNAcentral.